CAAAUUCCCGCACUAUGGGGAUAUCCUCAAUUCUAGGGGCGUCAUCCUCACCCCGCAACACAACAGUAGCCAAGUAGGCUACGCAGCCUCUACUAAUCAACUCCCUAGCUCGAGAGGAGCUAAUCGUCAUCGCAAACAGCGAACUCUGGCAUCCUCGGUACACAACCUCUGCCUACCCCGGCUCUCUAAACGUCACAGUUCGAUUCUUGCAAUCAAUU
RNAcentral lists this long non-coding RNA (218 nucleotides) under Ananas comosus (pineapple). Its description in RNAcentral is "long non-coding RNA (ACOM_LNC038835)". Lineage: Eukaryota; Viridiplantae; Streptophyta; Magnoliopsida; Poales; Bromeliaceae. The record is from RNAcentral.